Long non-coding RNA from Pogonomyrmex barbatus (red harvester ant), 399 nucleotides. RefSeq lists it as uncharacterized. The record is from RefSeq and is a predicted model, not a curated record. Lineage: Eukaryota; Metazoa; Arthropoda; Insecta; Hymenoptera; Formicidae.
GUCGGAGAGAGGUAGAGAUAGACUUGGAGAACUGCGGACAAACAAGAGGGGAGAAGCAGGCACGUGGCGGGUGUGCCUAGGUCAACUGCACACAAUGCCCGAAAGCGAGUCGAGAGGAGGAGGCUCAUCGAGCGGGUGGAGGAAGGCGUGAACGAAGAAACUGCAGUGUGCCAUUAAUCAACAGCCUAAAACAAAAAGAGGUCCUCCACUUAUGACACGCCCGCGCAAAUGCACCCCAAAUAUCUUCACAGAAGACUCUCUCGGAAUACUCUGGGAGAGGGUCGUUCGCAGUAUUGUGCGUAGCGGAGGACUUUCCGACUUUCAGUUAAAACGUCCAAAUAAACAGCGGCUUGAAUUAAGCACUGCUCCCGCGAGGGCGAUGGAGUAGGCAAAGAAAAA